AUUUAAGCAUAUAAGUAAGCGGAGGAUAAGAAACUAAACGGGAUUUUCUCAGUAAUUGCGAAUGAAGAGGGAGUAGUUCAGUUUGGAAAUUGGGGCCCCUUGGCCUUGAAUUGUAGUUUGGAGAUGCGCCGCCAAUGGAGGCGUAGAUGUAUACCUCUUGGAAGAGAGCAUCAGUGAGGGUGAGAGUCCCGUUUGCCAUCUGCAGCCCGCUGUGCACGGGGCGGUUCCAAAGAGUCACGUUCCUCGGAACUGGAGCGCAAAGUGGGUGGUAACUUUCAUCUCAAGCUGAAUACGGUUUCGAGACCGAUAGUGAACAAGUACCAUGAGGGAAAGGUGAAAAGGACUUUGAGAAGAGAGUUACAAGUGCCUGAAAUCGCUGGAAGCAAAGCGAAGGGAACUAUGGCUGCUUGGUAAAAUCUUCUGCGCGCUCACAGGAUGGCUUGCUGUUUCAACGCAAGUGCGGCAGCUAGUCCCCAUCGAAGCGUGCGCUGUGUUUUUUGCCGCGCAUGUCAACGCCAACUUGCAAAUGAGGAAUGCUUCAGGGACACGACAACCUGCCUCCGGGCAGAUGAACGUGCCUGGCAGGAUUCGUUUGCCCAUUGAUUUGAGGCUGUCUGGUUGUAGUGACCCCGCAAAGGAGGUUGCGCCCCGGACGCAAAUGAAGAAGACAGAGUGGUUCCAUUCUACCCGUCUUGAAACACGGGACCAAGGA
Molecule: ribosomal RNA, 712 nt
Filed under: Prorocentrum leve
Lineage: Eukaryota; Dinophyceae; Prorocentrales; Prorocentraceae
Description: LSU rRNA
Rfam family: Eukaryotic large subunit ribosomal RNA
Source: RNAcentral